RNAcentral lists this transfer RNA (89 nucleotides) under Elusimicrobiota bacterium. Its description in RNAcentral is "Elusimicrobia bacterium (wastewater metagenome) tRNA-Ser". It matches the Rfam family "tRNA". Rfam says of the family: Transfer RNA (tRNA) molecules are approximately 80 nucleotides in length. Their secondary structure includes four short double-helical elements and three loops (D, anti-codon, and T loops). The record is from RNAcentral. Lineage: Bacteria; Pseudomonadati; Elusimicrobiota.
GGAAAGGUGGCCGAGUGGCUGAAGGCAGCGGACUGCUAAUCCGCUGUAUGGGGAAACCUAUACCGAGGGUUCGAAUCCCUCCCUUUCCG